This 85-nucleotide transfer RNA is filed under the name Planctomycetota bacterium. RNAcentral describes it as "Planctomycetes bacterium (freshwater metagenome) tRNA-Leu". It matches the Rfam family "tRNA". From Rfam's summary of the family: Transfer RNA (tRNA) molecules are approximately 80 nucleotides in length. Their secondary structure includes four short double-helical elements and three loops (D, anti-codon, and T loops). The record is from RNAcentral. Lineage: Bacteria; Pseudomonadati; Planctomycetota.
GCCCAGGUGGCGGAAUUGGCAGACGCACUAGCUUCAGGAGCUAGCGAGCUUUACGCUCAUGGAGGUUCGAGUCCUCUCCUGGGCA